This 433-nucleotide ribosomal RNA is filed under the name uncultured bacterium. RNAcentral's name for it is "partial 16S ribosomal RNA". It matches the Rfam family "Bacterial small subunit ribosomal RNA", at positions 29 to 507 of the family's 1533-position model. The record is from RNAcentral.
AACGAACGCUGGCGGCAUGCCUAACACAUGCAAGUCGAACGAGACCUUCGGGUAUAGUGGCGCACGGGUGCGUAACGCGUGGGAACCUGCCCUUAGGUUCGGAAUAACUCCCCGAAAGGGGUGCUAAUACCGGAUAAUGUCUUCGGACCAAAGAUUUAUCGCCUUUGGAUGGGCCCGCGUUGGAUUAGCUAGUUGGUAGGGUAAAAGCCUACCAAGGCGACGAUCCAUAGCUGGUCUGAGAGGAUGAUCAGCCACACUGGGACUGAGACACGGCCCAGACUACUACGGGAGGCAGCAGUGGGGAAUAUUGGACAAAUGGCGAAAGCCUGAUCCAGCAAUGCCGCGGGAGUGAUGAAGGCCUUAGGGUUGUAAAGCUCUUUUACCCGGGAUGAUAAUGACAGUACCGGGAGAAUAAGCUCCGGCUAACUCCGUG